Molecule: ribosomal RNA, 252 nt
Filed under: uncultured bacterium
Lineage: Bacteria
Description: partial 16S ribosomal RNA
Rfam family: Bacterial small subunit ribosomal RNA
Source: RNAcentral
CGUAGGUGCGAGCGUUGUCCGGAAUUAUUGGGCGUAAAGAGCUCGUAGGCGGCGUGUCGCGUCGAUUGUGAAAGCCCGGGGCUUAACUCCGGGUCUGCAGUCGAUACGGGCAUGCUCGAGUUCGGCAGGGGAGACUGGAAUUCCUGGUGUAGCGGUGAAAUGCGCAGAUAUCAGGAGGAACACCGGUGGCGAAGGCGGGUCUCUGGGCCGAUACUGACGCUGAGGAGCGAAAGCGUGGGAGCGAACAGGAUU